GAAGAAGAAGAAGAGGAACGAACGGGACGCCUAAGGAGUCUUACGGGCCAGUUUUUUUACCCCAAUUCACAGUUUCCCUUUCUAUCCUGUGCUUUCUAUGGUGAAAGAAAAAGAUAAGAAGUAGAAGAAGAAGAAGAAGAA
This 141-nucleotide long non-coding RNA is filed under the name Polistes fuscatus (common paper wasp). RNAcentral's name for it is "uncharacterized LOC122526370". The record is from RNAcentral. Lineage: Eukaryota; Metazoa; Arthropoda; Insecta; Hymenoptera; Vespidae.